GGAUUAACAAUCAUACUAUGGUCAAGCACAACUCUAAACUUCCAUAAGCAUCAUUACAUUACAUUUCUAUACUAUACUUUUACAUUACAUCAUAUUCAUGUCCACACUAGCUAUUACAAUAACAUAACUCUACUCCUGCUGACCUCCUGGUCUACCCUGUACCUGCAAACCUGGGGGUUAAGGGAGAGGGGUGAGCUAUAAAGCCCAGUGAGCAGAAUAGUAAAACAUUCAAUUUAUAUUUCAUGCUUUCAUGAAAUACAACACAGCACAAACAAUUCACAUCAAGGAUAGACUUGUCACCAAUAGUCCUCUACAUAGUCCAAUCGUGCCAGGGGCGUAGAAUGGGCCUCACUAGUCUUUCUCUUAACAUAACAUAACAUAACAUAACAUUCCAUAGUGCCUAGGGCGUAGAAUGGGCCUCACUGGUCUUUCUCUUAACAUAGUGUCAGGGGCGUAGAAUGGGCCUCACUGGUCUUCCAUACUGUAUCAUCAUCAUAUCAUAUCAUUUGAGGACUAAAGAAUCAUUCAACAUCCAUCCACAUCAUCAUUAAGUUAUGCAAUGCAACAUAUUCGUGAGUUCUAAUGCAAACAACCUAGUAUAUCUCAUGGCAUACGUGAUGCAUGUAUCAUGCUAAAAAUUCAUUUACUUUAAACAUAAAGUUUAUUCCACUCACCUCUGGCUGAAGCUCUAAUGACUCUGAAGCAGCUA
RNAcentral lists this long non-coding RNA (709 nucleotides) under Manihot esculenta (cassava). RNAcentral's name for it is "long non-coding RNA (MESC_LNC002950)". Lineage: Eukaryota; Viridiplantae; Streptophyta; Magnoliopsida; Malpighiales; Euphorbiaceae. The record is from RNAcentral.